RNAcentral lists this transfer RNA (72 nucleotides) under Candidatus Curtissbacteria bacterium RIFCSPHIGHO2_01_FULL_41_11. Its description in RNAcentral is "tRNA-Thr". It matches the Rfam family "tRNA". Rfam says of the family: Transfer RNA (tRNA) molecules are approximately 80 nucleotides in length. Their secondary structure includes four short double-helical elements and three loops (D, anti-codon, and T loops). Lineage: Bacteria; Candidatus Curtissiibacteriota. The record is from RNAcentral.
GCCGACUUAGCUCAGCGGUAGAGCAGCUGUUUUGUAAACAGCAGGCCGUCGGUUCGAAUCCGACAGUCGGCU